UUGCCUCAGUAACGGCGAGUGAAGCGGCAAUAGCUCAAAUUUGAAAUCUGGCCCUUUCAGGGUCCGAGUUGUAAUUUGCAGAGGGCGCUUUGGAGUCGGCAGCAGCCUAAGUUCCUUGGAACAGGUCAUCAUAGAGGGUGAGAAUCCCGUAUGUGGCUGCUUGCCUUCGCCGUGUAAAGCCCCUUCGAUGAGUCGAGUUGUUUGGGAAUGCAGCUCUAAAUGGGAGGUAAAUUUCUUCUAAAGCUAAAUAUUGGCCAGAGACCGAUAGCGCACAAGUAGAGUGAUCGAAAGAUGAAAAGCACUUUGGAAAGAGAGUCAAAAAGCACGUGAAAUUGUUGAAAGGGAAGCGCUUGCAGCCAGACGUGCCCGUAGUUGCUCAUCUGGGGUUCUCCCCAGUGCACUCUUCUAUGGGCAGGCCAGCAUCAGUCCGGGCGGUUGGAGAAAGACCUGUGUCACGUAGCUCUCUUCGGGGAGUGUUAUAGGGCAGGUGGAAUGCAACCAGCCUGGACUGAGGUCCGCGCAUCUGCUAGGAUGCUGGCGUAAUGGCUGUAAGCGGCCCGUCUUGAAACACGGACCAAGGAGUCUAACAUCUAUGCGAGUGUUUGGGUGUCAAGCCCGAGCGCGUAAUGAAAGUGAACGGAGGUGGGAACCCCUCGGGGUGCACCAUCGACCGAUCCUGAUGUCUUCGGAUGGAUUUGAGUAAGAGCAUAGCUGUUGGGACCCGAAAGAUGGUGAACUAUGCCUGAAUAGGGUGAAGCCAGAGGAAACUCUGGUGGAGGCUCGCAGCGGUUCUGACGUGCAAAUCGAUCGUCAAAUUUGGGCAUAGGGGCGAAAGACUAAUCGAACUAU
Molecule: ribosomal RNA, 849 nt
Filed under: Xenostigmina zilleri
Lineage: Eukaryota; Fungi; Ascomycota; Dothideomycetes; Mycosphaerellales; Mycosphaerellaceae
Description: eukaryotic LSU rRNA
Rfam family: Eukaryotic large subunit ribosomal RNA
Source: RNAcentral